This is an unclassified non-coding RNA of Prolemur simus (greater bamboo lemur), 101 nucleotides long. It matches the Rfam family "Y RNA". Rfam says of the family: Y RNAs are components of the Ro ribonucleoprotein particle (Ro RNP), in association with Ro60 and La proteins. Lineage: Eukaryota; Metazoa; Chordata; Mammalia; Primates; Lemuridae. The record is from Ensembl.
GGUUAGUCCAAGUGCAGUGGUGUUUACAACUAAUUGGUCGCAACCAGUUACAGAUUCCUUUGUUCCUUCUCCACUCCCACUAUUUCGCUUGACCAGCAAAA